GGUUGAGGCUCAGCGGUAGAGCACUUGCCUAGCAUGUUUGAGGCCCUGGGUUCGAUCCUCAGAACCA
RNAcentral lists this transfer RNA (67 nucleotides) under Marmota monax (woodchuck). Its description in RNAcentral is "tRNA.Ala". Lineage: Eukaryota; Metazoa; Chordata; Mammalia; Rodentia; Sciuridae. The record is from RNAcentral.